This 91-nucleotide transfer RNA is filed under the name Nomascus leucogenys (northern white-cheeked gibbon). It matches the Rfam family "tRNA". From Rfam's summary of the family: Transfer RNA (tRNA) molecules are approximately 80 nucleotides in length. Their secondary structure includes four short double-helical elements and three loops (D, anti-codon, and T loops). The record is from Rfam by way of RNAcentral. Lineage: Eukaryota; Metazoa; Chordata; Mammalia; Primates; Hylobatidae.
CCUUCGAUAGCUCAGUUGGUAGAGCGGAGGACUGUAGUAGAUGUUAAGCGUGGCAAUCCUUAGGUCGCUGGUUCGAUUCCGGCUCGAAGGA